UGGGGAAUAUUGGACAAUGGGCGCAAGCCUGAUCCGGCCAUGCCGCGUGUGUGAAGAAGGCCUUUUGGUUGUAAAGCACUUUAAGCGAGGAGGAGGCUACUUGGAUUAAUACUCUAGGAUAGUGGACGUUACUCGCAGAAUAAGCACCGGCUAACUCUGUGCCAGCAGCCGCGGUAAUACAGAGGGUGCGAGCGUUAAUCGGAUUUACUGGGCGUAAAGCGUGCGUAGGCGGCUUUUUAAGUCGGAUGUGAAAUCCCUGAGCUUAACUUAGGAAUUGCAUUCGAUACUGGGAAGCUAGAGUAUGGGAGAGGAUGGUAGAAUUCCAGGUGUAGCGGUGAAAUGCGUAGAGAUCUGGAGGAAUACCGAUGGCGAAGGCAGCCAUCUGGCCUAAUACUGACGCUGAGGUACGAAAGCAUGGGGAGCAAACAGG
Molecule: ribosomal RNA, 430 nt
Filed under: Bacillota bacterium
Lineage: Bacteria; Bacillati; Bacillota
Description: Firmicutes bacterium partial 16S ribosomal RNA
Rfam family: Bacterial small subunit ribosomal RNA
Source: RNAcentral